Molecule: ribosomal RNA, 367 nt
Filed under: uncultured bacterium
Lineage: Bacteria
Description: partial 16S ribosomal RNA
Rfam family: Bacterial small subunit ribosomal RNA
Source: RNAcentral
CCUACGGGAGGCAGCAGUAAGGAAUCUUCCGCAAUGGGCGAAAGCCUGACGGAGCAACGCCGCGUGGGCGAUGAAGGCCUUCGGGUCGUAAAGCCCUUUUCUGUGGGACGAUAAUGACGGUACCACAGGAAUAAGCCACGGCUAACUACGUGCCAGCAGCCGCGGUAAUACGUAGGUGGCUAGCGUUAUCCGGAUUCACUGGGCGUAAAGCGCUUGCAGGCGGUCUGAUAAGUUGGACGUGAAAGCCCUGAGCUUAACUGGGGGAGGCCGUUCAAUACUGUCAGGCUAGAGGGAGGCAGAGGAGAGUGAAAUUCCCGGGGUAGCGGUAAAAUGCAUAGAUAUCGGGAGGAACACCGGUGGCGAGGGC